UGUGGCAGGAAGUGGUUACUUUGAUAUCAGGGACCGUAAUGACAAAUGGAUUCGUGUAUGGGUAAAGAAGGGGGGAAUGAUCGUUUUACCUGCUGGCUGUUAUCACCACUUUACAUUGGAUACAAACAACUAUAUUAAGACAUUUCUGGAGUUUUUAACACUAAUAGAUUAAUUGGUGGUAGUGUACUUGAUGUGUACACUAUGCACCAGAUGAUCCAAAAGCACUUGUUCAUCAUGUUCCUAUUGGACCUAAUGCUAUGAGAGUUUGGAUUGAUAUAGCCAAUGUCCCUAAUGUGUUUUUGUGGAGGUCUGCAUCCGAAAUGGUUUUUGUUGAAGAUGUUGUUGGGAGUACAGUUGCUUGGCCUUCUAACAAAGUUGUCCUACCUUUUCGAAAACAAUUUUAGGAGAUUCUUGAUGGUGUGCAAACUGCAAUAUGCAAUCUACAAUUUGCAAAAUUGCAGACUCUUUUUAGCAUUCGAGACCCCCAUCUUUGCUUUUUGGGGUUUUCCAGUUAAGGGUGUGUUAGCUUAACUUAAGAAUCUACGUUUGGUGUUUGGUACUUUGGCAAAGAAAUCAUCAAUUCUCUCGUUGAGGCAAGACCAUUUAACAGUUUAUGGUGAACAGAUGUACAUUAUGCAUUUCUUUUCUUGUGGGUUUGGCAUUUUCUCUCUUUCAACAUAAUCAUAUAGGGUUCGAUACCAGUUUAGUUGUUGAUUAAAAAAUUGAAAAGCAAGUUUAGAGGUGGAAUAAUAUUGAUUAGGUGACUGUCAUUUUAAUAACUUAAUCAUAAAGAUGAUUCAUAAAACUCCGUUUCAUAUGAUUGGUAACGGAUGAGCAAAUAAUCAUGUUAUAAUUGUUGCAAUGAGAUUACAGGUGGAAUACAAUUUUGCAUACUGCAAUUUUGCAUACUGCAGUUUGCAGUUUUGCAUACUACAUUUUGCAUACUACAGUCUGCAAUUCUCUUGCCAUAAUAAUCCUUAUGUUUCCUUGUGUGGUUCUAACUUUGGUCAUCUUGCAGUAUGCAGUGAAGUAACCACAGUUUUGACUGCAGUUUGCAAACUGUAGUAUGCAUACUGCAGUAUGCAGAAUUGCAUACUGCAGUAUGUAAUUUUGCAUACUGCAUUCUGCAAUUCUCUUGCCAUAAUAAUCCUUAUGUUUCCUUGUAUGGUUCUAACUUUGGUCAUCUUGCAGUAUGUAGUGAAGUAACCACAGUUUCCAAAGAUGGAAUAGUUUUUUGCUUUAUACUCUUUUAUUGGCUAGGAAUGAUUUUGUGAUAACUUAUUCUUUAGAACUAAAAUUUGAUGAGCCUCUAAACCUGGGGUUUGAUAAAUGAGACUUUGCUGGUGGAGAAACGUGAUUAACUUUGUAAUUUGUACCAUUGUUUGUGCCAAUGAUGACAGUAUAUCAUUAAUGAGGCUUUAGGUUUGUUUCUUGUUUAAUACAGUAAAAUAUGUAUUUCUCAUGACCAUUUUUUGUGCCUAUGUUGACAAUAUUUCAUUAACAAGGCUUUAGGUUUUUCUGCUGGAACUAUUAUCAUAGUAUGUUAUCAUAGUAUGCUUGUGAAGUUGGAGAUAUAAGCAUGUUCUUUUCCUCUUUGUUUUGCAUUAAAUAUUUGGGGUGCUUUUGUCUUGAUCUUUUUUUGAAUUUACAAUAUAUAUGUGUUGUUAUCUUUGAGAAUAUAC
This is a long non-coding RNA of Pistacia vera, 1682 nucleotides long. RefSeq lists it as uncharacterized. The record is from RefSeq and is a predicted model, not a curated record. The transcript is spliced from 4 exons. Lineage: Eukaryota; Viridiplantae; Streptophyta; Magnoliopsida; Sapindales; Anacardiaceae.